RNAcentral lists this long non-coding RNA (1186 nucleotides) under Olea europaea subsp. europaea. The record is from RNAcentral. Lineage: Eukaryota; Viridiplantae; Streptophyta; Magnoliopsida; Lamiales; Oleaceae.
GUUAAAAUGAUGUCAAAUCACUGUUGAAAAAUGUAUUUUGGUGGAAAAAUGGGGCUCAAACAAGGGCUAAUUCUGUAUGUGCAGAUCUCAACUAGAAAGCUUUGCAUCUUUAUGUUACAAUUUUGUUUUUAUUAGGUGAAAAUUUGAUCUUUCCUCCAUGUUAAUUUAGAAAUGUUCAUGCAUUGAAGGUUGUAGGAUACUUUCUGGAUGCAAAAACAUUCCAGUUGAAAUUUGUUUGCCCAAAGAACAAAAAUAGUGUAGAAUUCAUGAGAUCCUAAUUGAUGCAGAUAAUCUCCCAGUUAAGUUUGGAAGUAAAGCCAUACUGCAGUACAACCAUCAGGACAUAGCUUGAGAACAAUUUAAAACCAACAGGUACUCUAUUACUGGGUAUAAAAUGAUUUCUUACAAUAACUAGCAAAUGGGAGUAUCUCUAAUUUUUCUUUUAAUAAAUCAUUUUAUCCUCUUUUGAGUUAUUUUCAUUUCAAUACUGAUUAAAAUGUUUCUAAUAUUUGCUCACCUUGAUUUUGUUGGACAAUUCAUACUUAAUUUGAUAGAUCAAAUAACUUACUAUAAUUAUUAUGAUGUAAGUUCUGCAAUAAAAAUAAGAAAGUUGGAAAGUUGAUGAGUAAGACUCAUAUUUCGGAAAGUUUAUGUUAAAUCGGAAGCUGAAAGAGUGAAAGCGUUCCUUUUUUAUUGAGUGAGGGAUCAAUAGGGUUUGAAAUACCACCCCAAUCUUGGGGAAAUGACAUCUCUUUUUCCUAGUCUUAUAUAACUUUCUAAUAAUCUUUUACCGAGUCUCAGAUUAUGGUGUAGCUGUUCUUUUUAUGGAGGUUGACAUCGACUUCAAUAAAGAGCCUAUUGGUGCAGACAAAGAUAGUAAAGAUGUCAAUUUCAAGGGUAUACGGCCAUCAACUGAAAAAAUUGCAUAGGUAUACAUGUAUAUUGCACUAAAUGCCCAUUUGCAAAAAGGGAAUAUCAAAUUGUGAAGUAACAUGAAAAUUAUAUGUUUGAAGUGGUUCAAUCCAGUGUAUUGCCUAUAUGUUCAAAAGUAUAUAUGAAUCUAUCACAAAGGGUAAUGCCAUGUGGAAUCAGUUAUCAGUACUAAUUGCCAAGCACUGUUACUUGUUACCCAGUUGUGUAUUCACCUUUGUUUUACUCUUCGUUAUGUUUUGUUUUGUCAUCUUUG